UACGGAGGGUGCAAGCGUUAAUCGGAAUUACUGGGCGUAAAGCGCGCGUAGGCGGUUUAGCAAGUCGGAUGUGAAAGCCCAGGGCUUAACCCUGGAAUUGCAUUCGAUACUGCUUAACUAGAGUAUGGUAGAGGGAAGUGGAAUUUCCGGUGUAGCGGUGAAAUGCGUAGAUAUCGGAAGGAACACCAGUGGCGAAGGCGACUUCCUGGGCCAAUACUGACGCUGAGGUGCGAAAGCGUGGGGGGCAAACAGG
Molecule: ribosomal RNA, 253 nt
Filed under: uncultured bacterium
Lineage: Bacteria
Description: partial 16S ribosomal RNA
Rfam family: Bacterial small subunit ribosomal RNA
Source: RNAcentral